CUUGACUUGGACUAAAGGUGACAAUGGGCAGGAUGACUGGGUUGGCAUUAAAAUACUAUCCCCAUCCAUAAAAAAAUUCGAUAAGCAACAUGAUGACGAGACAUGAUGGGACAGAAAUUAAAAUAUCUCCUUUACCACCACAUUUGAUUAAUUUUUUUUUUUUAAUGUUACUAUUUGUAUCUUAAAAUAAGAUUUCAACUGGAAAACAUAAAAAUAAAAAGAUUCAAGAUGGGUUGGAGGAUGGUGGCAGAGGUCGGACUUUUACCAACCCUAAUUGAGCUGGAGUCCAAAAGAAUUCAAAGAAGAUAAAUUUUUAUGAGAAUAAAAAGUACGAAUAUUUGGUCAUUUUUCAUUAUUAGAGAAUGUUAGUGACCAACUUGCUCAUUUUUAAAAGAUUGAAGACCAAUGGUGCAAAUUUCCCCCCAUAUAUAAUGAAUGCAUGCGCUCUCACGUGGGAUUGUAGAGUUGUAGCUGCUAUUUUUGACCAGUGAUCCUAUACUAGAUUGCGCAAUCCAAGAAAGUAACAAAUGUGUUUGACAUAAAUUAUCUGCACUUAUCUUUUCCUUAUGUCACUCCGGCGUGCAUGUACCACUUUAAAUUGAUAAAGUUGUCACCCGUGACAAUGACGGCUCCAUGGCCAUCUUCGAAUAAAAAUUAUUUGCGAGAUUCAAAUUUCAUAGGUAACAUUCUAACUUGAAAAGUGAGAAUGAUCUUUAUCUUAUUACACAUAUGCCCAGAUAUAGUUGACGAGCACCUGAAAAUCCAUCGAUGAAUUUGAAGAUUACAAAAUAUGACGACCUCAUACCCCGAGCAUCCUCCACACGUUCUCCUUUAUAAACAUUAAGUAGACAUACACUCGACCUAAACAAAAUUAUCUAAAUCUAAUGAAAUUUUUCAUAAAUUGCCUUAUUUGAUCUUUGAAACAUUGUGUUAAAUUACAGUGGCAAGUCAACGCAAUCAUCUAAUCUCUUAUCAUCGAUAGUGACUUUCCAUGUGAAACAAUCGUUAACAGUAUUUGCUAAUUUUAUAUUAGUUUAUAC
This 1040-nucleotide long non-coding RNA is filed under the name Olea europaea subsp. europaea. Lineage: Eukaryota; Viridiplantae; Streptophyta; Magnoliopsida; Lamiales; Oleaceae. The record is from RNAcentral.